GGAAGUAAAAGUCGUAACAAGGUUUUCGUAGGUGAACCUGCGGAAAGGAUCAUUACCGAGUCGAGGGCUGUAAUGGCUCGAGCCUCCCAACCCUGUGUCGUCAAUACCCCAGCGUGCUUUGGCGGACAGGAGUCCGGGGCGAUUGUGCCCCGGGCGGCCGCCAAGCGCCCAUUCCAAACCCUUGUGAACCGCUCCCUCCGGGGGGUGUCUGAUCCUGCGAGCACGACAGAAUUGAACCCAAAACUUUCAACAACGGAUCUCUUGGUUCCGGCGUCGAUGAAGAACGCAGCGAAAUGCGAUAAGUAAUGUGAAUUGCAGAAUUCAGUGAAUCAUCGAGUCUUUGAACGCACAUUGCGCCCCCUGGCAUUCCGGGGGGCAGGCCUGUUCGAACGUCGUUCGACCCCUCGAGCUCGGCUCGGUCUUGGGGGUGCACACUGCGCCGCCCCGGGUGGGGCGGCCCCCCGAAAGUCAACGGCGGAGCCCGCCGGGUCAGGCGCGCGGUGACUUGUAACUCGUCGCCUCGGCCCGGGCGCCCCGGCCGGAAACCCGCCCGUCCUUCCCCCGCGGGGGACCGAUGGGCCCCAGACGGUUUCACUUCGGAUCAGGCCAGGAGACCCGCUGAACUUAAGCAUAUCAAUAAGCGGAGGACAAGAAACCAACCGGGAUGGCCCCAGUAACGGCGAGUGAA
RNAcentral lists this small RNA (688 nucleotides) under Ascomycota sp. KWS 20. RNAcentral's name for it is "eukaryotic LSU rRNA". The stretch from base 242 to 395 matches the Rfam family "5.8S ribosomal RNA". Lineage: Eukaryota; Fungi; Ascomycota. The record is from RNAcentral.